Long non-coding RNA from Pangasianodon hypophthalmus (striped catfish), 464 nucleotides. RefSeq lists it as uncharacterized. The transcript is spliced from 3 exons. Lineage: Eukaryota; Metazoa; Chordata; Actinopteri; Siluriformes; Pangasiidae. The record is from RefSeq and is a predicted model, not a curated record.
GGUUCAGUUGCUCAGCAGAACGCAUCCCAGCAGGAAAAGCAAAAGACUGUCUGGUCUUCUCAUGACAUCCCCAGUUCUGUUCUCUGCCGAGCACAAACACACAAUCAACCGAGUAAUAUUAUAACCAAUUUAUUCCCCCUUUGCUGUUAUAAUAAACUCCACUCUUCUGGGAAGGCUUUCUACUAGAUUUUGGAGCGUGGCUAUGGGAAUUUGUGUUCAUUCAGCCACAAGAUCAUUAGCGAGGAAGCUGCAUUUCUGAUGAAUGCCUUUGUCUCUGCUCCAAUGAAGAGGUCUUCAUCUUCCAACUGAUGUCCCUGUCCUUAGUUCACCUCCCUGAGAGGGACAUCCAAGAUGGCCCUGGCUGGUAUGAGGUAGCCCAAAAACCGCCUCUUCAAGCCUGUGAAUCUGUACUCCCUCUGACUGUAGACAGUACAUGUAGCCACAAUAAAAUAACUGAAAUAAUA